This 424-nucleotide ribosomal RNA is filed under the name uncultured bacterium. RNAcentral describes it as "partial 16S ribosomal RNA". It matches the Rfam family "Bacterial small subunit ribosomal RNA", at positions 360 to 776 of the family's 1533-position model. The record is from RNAcentral.
AAUUUUGGACAAUGGGGGAAACCCUGAUCCAGCCAUCCAGCGUGUAAGAUGAAGGCAUUCGGGGUGUAAAGUACUUUUGGCCGUGAAGAAAAGGUAUCCCCUAAUACGGGAUAUGGCUGACGGUAUCUGCAGAAAAAGCACCGGCUAACUACGGAACAGUAGCCGCGGUAAUACGUAGGGUGUAAGCGUAAAUCUGAAUUCCUGGGCGUAAAGCGUGUGUAGGCGGUUCGGAAAGAAAAAUGUGAAAUCCCAGGUCUCAACCGUGGAACUGCAUUUUUAACUGCCGAGCUAGAGUAUGUCAGAGGGGGGUAGAAUUCCACGUGUAGCAGUGAAAUGCGUAGAUAUGUGGAGGAAUACCGAUGGCGAAGGCAGCCCCCUGGGAUAAUACUGACGCUCAGACACGAAAGCGUGGGGAGCAAACAGG